Molecule: ribosomal RNA, 301 nt
Filed under: uncultured bacterium
Lineage: Bacteria
Description: partial 16S ribosomal RNA
Rfam family: Bacterial small subunit ribosomal RNA
Source: RNAcentral
CAGCCGCCGCGGUAAAACGUAGGUGGCAAGCGUUGUCCGGAAUUAUUGGGCGUAAAGGGCUCGCAGGCGGUUUCUUAAGUCUGAUGUGAAAGCCCCCGGCUCAACCGGGGAGGGUCAUUGGAAACUGGGAAACUUGAGUGCAGAAGAGGAGAGUGGAAUUCCACGUGUAGAGGUGAAAUGCGUAGAGAUGUGGAGGAACGCCAGUGGCGAAGGCGACUCUCUGGUCUGUAACUGACGCUGAGGAGCGAAAGCGUGGGGAGCGAACAGGAUUAGAUACCCCUGUAGUCCCUGUCUCUUAUAC